Long non-coding RNA from Astatotilapia calliptera (eastern happy), 494 nucleotides. NCBI's taxonomy places the organism in Eukaryota, Metazoa, Chordata, Actinopteri, Cichliformes, Cichlidae. The record is from Ensembl.
GUUCAUUCUCCUAAAGUAAACAUUAAAGCCUAACACUGUGUUGCUGCUUCAACAUUUCAUCCCCGGCUCUUUUGUUGCACCUUGGCAGCUUUGACAGAGCCAUGUCCCCCGGCUGUCCUGUGAAUUGAAGCGAUGGAGAGCUCGUCCUCCACAGUGAGGCGGCGAGCAUGGAUCAACAGCAGCCGUCAGCGGGUCACUUUGGAAGACCCGGAAGGGCCUCUGUGCCCGUUCCCAUCUGCCUCCAUAGCGGACGAUGAUGUGUUCUCUGAUGGAUGCCUUGCAGGAAAGAUUGAGAACUGGCUUCUCAGCUGUGGGUCAGAUGCCUGCUCAGAGAACAGCGGUCAGCUGAGUUUUGAGUCUGUGCUCCAAGCCGGUAACUUUGCUGAUGACCUGGGUCUUGGAGCAGAUGCUUCUGUGGUAGAAGAUGGAGAUGUUAAACCUGAGCCUGGCUUGGUGCGACAGCCGUCCUUCAGACAAAAGAGCAGGCUCACCAG